CCUACGGGUGGCAGCAGUGAGGAAUAUUGGUCAAUGGGCGGGAGCCUGAACCAGCCAAGCCGCGUGAGGGAAGAAGGUACAGCGUAUCGUAAACCUCUUUUGUCAGGGAACAAAGGCGGGGACUAGUCCCCGGAUGAGGGUACCUGAAGAAAAAGCAUCGGCUAACUCCGUGCCAGCAGCCGCGGUAAUACGGAGGAUGAGAGCGUUAUCCGGAUUUAUUGGGGUUAAGGGGUGCGAAGUCGGCCUGUUAAGUCAGCGGGAAAAGCCCGGGGCUAAACCCCGGCGAGCCGUUGAAACUGGCGGGCUGGAGUUGGGGAGAGGUACGCGGAAUGCGCGGUGUAGCGGUGAAAUGCUUAGAUAUCGCGCAGAACCCCGAUGGCGAAGGCAGCGUACCGGCUCCACACUGACGCUGAGGCACGAAAGCGUGGGGAUCGAACAGGAUUAGAUACCCCAGUAGUC
Molecule: ribosomal RNA, 459 nt
Filed under: uncultured bacterium
Lineage: Bacteria
Description: partial 16S ribosomal RNA
Rfam family: Bacterial small subunit ribosomal RNA
Source: RNAcentral